AAUAGAUACCCCGGUAGUCCACGCCGUAAACGAUGAGUGCUAAGUGUUAGAGGGUUUCCGCCCUUUAGUGCUGAAGUUAACGCAUUAAGCACUCCGCCUGGGGAGUACGGCCGCAAGGCUGAAACUCAAAGGAAUUGACGGGGGCCCGCACAAGCGGUGGAGCAUGUGGUUUAAUUCGAAGCAACGCGAAGAACCUUACCAGGUCUUGACAUCCUCUGACAACCCUAGAGAUAGGGCUUCUCCUUCGGGAGCAGAGUGACAGGUGGUGCAUGGUUGUCGUCAGCUCGUGUCGUGAGAUGUUGGGUUAAGUCCCGCAACGAGCGCAACCCUUGAUCUUAGUUGCCAUCAUUAGGUUGGGCACUCUAAGGUGACUGCCGGUGACAAACCGGAGGAAGGUGGGGAUGACGUCAAAUCAUCAUGCCCCUUAUGACCUGGGCUACACACGUGCUACAAUGGACGGUACAAAGAGCUGCAAGACCGCGAGGUGAGCUAAUCUCAUAAAACCGUUCUCAGUUCGGAUUGUAGGCUGCUAAC
This 534-nucleotide ribosomal RNA is filed under the name uncultured bacterium. RNAcentral describes it as "bacterial SSU rRNA". It matches the Rfam family "Bacterial small subunit ribosomal RNA", at positions 777 to 1312 of the family's 1533-position model. The record is from RNAcentral.